AAAAAAAAAAACUAUUCUAAACUUUAAUAUCCCACGACAAACACGUGAUACGAGAUACGACACGACUCGACUCAAACAGUUUCAAAAAAAGAGAACGGAUACAAGAUGAAUAAUAAUAUAUAUUUAAUAUGUAUAAAAUAUUAAUUUUAUUAAAAUAUUAUUAUAUUUUAAUACGAAUCAAAGUAAAUAAAAUUUUAAAAGAGUUGUUUUUUUAAAAGAGUUGUUUGGAUAGU
RNAcentral lists this long non-coding RNA (233 nucleotides) under Ananas comosus (pineapple). RNAcentral's name for it is "long non-coding RNA (ACOM_LNC026309)". The record is from RNAcentral. Lineage: Eukaryota; Viridiplantae; Streptophyta; Magnoliopsida; Poales; Bromeliaceae.